Long non-coding RNA from Electrophorus electricus (electric eel), 2704 nucleotides. The record is from Ensembl. Lineage: Eukaryota; Metazoa; Chordata; Actinopteri; Gymnotiformes; Gymnotidae.
AGUACUAUUCUGAUAUAUGGAUGACGUGUGCAUGACACACACAUCUCUUGUAGGUCCACCAGCAGAAAUUCCAGUCUCAGCAUGGACCGGGCCAAUUUCAGCCUACUGUACCCAUGAGGGACUUUGCUGACAGUUCAGCACCUGGAUCUCAGAUGCACUCGACCCAUACGGCCAGCCUGGUCGUGCCUACCCCGCUCCGACUGGGAGGGUGGAUGGAAGAGGAGGAGGAGGAGGAAGAGGAGAUCAACAACAGCUCCUUGCUGGACCAGAGUCAGACCAGCAGAGGGAACAGCUGAAGUGCCUUACAGUUCUCGGUCUUUGCAUUCAGUUUGUGGAAGAAUGUGGAAGAACCUUAGUUUAGUUUGAGGCUUUUUGAUCAAACCCACAGUGCUGCGGAAGUGGCUCUGGCUCCUGGGUCAGAACGCUAACCGCACCACAUCUUCCAGCCGUGAGGAACAGUGCCGUUCCAGGCCACACAGUAUGUCCCCCACCUCACCUCUUUUCUUCAUUUAAUCACAGGUCCUCCAAAUGAAAACUGUCAUUUGAUUUGUGUGGGUGAGAGGUGUUUUGAGCCCUUAGCUGUGUUUGCAUUAAAAUAAAUGAACUUUAGUGAUGCUAGAAAUGUCAGAUUGAUGGUGAAUGUCAAAUCAGACAUGCGUGUAGUGCAUCACCGUUUGGUUUUAAAUCACUGAACAAAGCAGUAGUAUUUUGCUUGUAUUACUUUUUCAUUGCUUGUGAUGCCCUGACAGUAAAUAUCUUGUUUUGUGAAAAUAAUUCUCCUCAAUGUAAAACAAAAAAGAAAAGAAAGAAAACUGAAAAAUCCUACCCGAUAGCACCUGAUAUGUUUAUCAGUACUUGUAAUGGAAUUGCUGCUUGUGCUUCUUAAAUUUGUAUCCGUUUGCAUCUGUGAUAUCACGAGGGCAUUUAUGUCCUUUAGCCAGGUAGCUGACAAUGAUUGAGAUGUACAGCAACAUUGAACAUUAUCAAAACAUUAAUUUCAUGAAUUAUAAGAUUUCAAGUCUUAUUGUUUCAAGCAUCAGAGAAAAUGUAAUUGUCCAAAAUACUUAAUACUACAAUUUUUUUCUGUACAGAGGUACUGAAAUUUACAAGCUCAAAAUGUAUGAUUUAUCUUUUGGUUUUUCUUGAACCAACGCAAGCUCUGUUUUUUUUUGUUACUGUCAAAGUUUAGUACAUUGCGAAACUAGCAUAUUUCCUCUGGGAUACGUAAAACAUUCAACAAUUAUUAUAACAGAAAUAGCAUAAAUAAUCAGGACAGCAAAAAAAAUAAGAGUAAGUAAUUUAACCACUAGUGAAACAUAUUUGCCACCAGUAGGGGUCCUCAUAAAGGGGAAGUGACAGUGUUAAGUGACUACUAUGUGAUAUAUGUGUCUUUGGACAGUAGAUCCAAUGUACUGUUAAACUAGGAAUAACUUAUGAAACAACUUGAAAGUUGAACAAAAUCUAUUGACUUUUAUUGGUCAUUUCUCAUUUGCUAAGUGUCCCAAUGGUGCUCAUACAACAUGCAGUUGGUCCUAACUUGUAGAAAUUCUAAUGCCCCUCCUCCCACCCUACAAACAUUUUCUGCAUGUUUCAGUGUUUAAAGAUAUGCCUUUUUUUGUGAAGUGUGCCUCUGAAGAAUGACAUAGCAUAAUAAUGACCUCCUGUGGCCUACUACAGGGACCAGAACAGACCAUGGUUGCUUUUAAAAAGACAAAUGGUCGUGCUGUUAUUCCAGCCUUACACUAAGACACAAGAAGACAAAAUGGUUAUAGCACUCUGUGAAACCUAUAGAAAAUAUGUUUUUAAGAAGAAAAAAAUUACAUUUUCAUUUGACAGCUAAUUAGCUAACUGAUUAAUUAGGUAAGCCCUAGGUUUUAAUCAAGCUUAAGAGCCAUUGUCAAUUUGAUAAGUAAUAUUAAUAGAUUUAAUUAAUUUGCUCUCUCCUUGUCAUCAGAUAAAUAUGACUCUAUUACAUAUCAUGGAUGGGGCUUUAUGAUGCCAGAAGGAUAUGCCAUUUUCCAUAAACUCUUUUGAUGUAGUAUUCUCUCAGAGUUCAUAAUGCUUUGCUGCCCCCCUGUGACAAGCAACAAGCACCAGGCUCAUUGGCCUUCUCUGCACACCUGUGGUCAGUAGGAGCUGGAGCAUUUGCCAUGGCUAUAUAGAAAGCUCAUGCAAGCCCUGCUGAUGGUUUCUGGACAUGGUUGAUGGCUCUCUUUUUAUUGCGUCAGUGGAAACACAUUGAUAUUUUACACAGGCUGAAAUACCUCCAGAUGUGUUUGAAAAUUCAACAAGUUGUACAAUGUACAGUAUUUAUUUUGGUGGGUAUGCAUUGUUACAUCUUAACUACAGAUGUAAGUUAGAGGGUAUGAUCCAUCAGAUUAAAAAUAUUUACUGUUGGCCUCUUAAAACUGUUCUAGGUUUAAUUUUGGUUUGUGUCAGCCAUGAGCAGGAAAGCUGGUAAUCUCCACCAAGUUGCAGAAUGAUAAUGGACUCUGAGAGAAAAAGGAACUGGUUUGUUUUAUCUCCGUUAUUCUUGUCCACUAUAAGCAGUCUGAAAAAUGACUAUGCAAGGUGCUAUAUAUUUUGUUUGUUUGGUAUUAAUAUUUAUCUUAUUUUUUAUUUUUCUGAUUGUUUUGUCUGAUUGAAGCAACUCUAUUUAAAAAUAAACCAUACAAAAAAAAUAUUUUUUUUUUGUGAUAUUCUG